RNAcentral lists this ribosomal RNA (501 nucleotides) under uncultured soil bacterium. RNAcentral describes it as "bacterial SSU rRNA". It matches the Rfam family "Bacterial small subunit ribosomal RNA", at positions 26 to 520 of the family's 1533-position model. The record is from RNAcentral.
AGGACGAACGCUGGCGGCGUGCUUAACACAUGCAAGUCGAGCGAGGCCCCGUCUUCGGGUGGGUGUCCUAGCGGCGAACGGGUGAGUAACACGUGGGCAACCUGCCCCCGGCUCUGGGAUAACUCCAAGAAAUUGGGGCUAAUACCGGAUAUGACUGCUGACCGCAUGGUCUGGUGGUGGAAAGAUUUAUCGGCUGGGGGAUGGGCCCGCGGCCUAUCAGCUUGUUGAGUGGGGUAGUCGGCCUACCAAGGCGACGACGGGUAGCCGGCCUGAGAGGGUGACCGGCCACACUGGGACUGAGACACGGCCCAGACUCCGUACGGGAGGCAGCAGUGGGGAAUAUUGCGCAAUGGGCGAAAGCCUGACGCAGCGACGCCGGCGGUGGGGAUGGACGGCCGUUCGGGUUCGGUAAACCUUCUUCAGCGAGGACGAAGGACGAAAGUGACGGUACCUGCGAAGGAAGAAGCGAACCGGACCAACGUACGUCGCCAGCCGACGCCG